Molecule: long non-coding RNA, 2268 nt
Organism: Eleginops maclovinus (Patagonian blennie)
Lineage: Eukaryota; Metazoa; Chordata; Actinopteri; Perciformes; Eleginopidae
Exons: 7
Source: RefSeq, a predicted model, not a curated record
CAAGUUAGCUUGUGUAAGAAAUGUUCGUUUAUUUGAAGCCCAGGAGACGGUUUAAAAUAAAGAAAGCAAAACUCCCUUAAAAGUUAUAAAAGGAGUGUUUAAUAAAAGGAUGCAGUAGUAGGCCUUACAAAAGCUUCACAGCUGUGGCUCAAUAGCCCGGGACACGCGUCCACAGGCCACUGACUGAGCGGAGCUCAUCAGUAGUUACUGUCUGGCGGUCCGGAACAAAAGAGAGCUCGAUUUCACAAUCCUUACAUGUUUUAUAGAACCACCCCUUUCCGACCAUACAAUAAACAACUUCAAAAUCAGACGCGCCCCGCUGUCGUGCUCUCAUUGGUUGGUAGCGGGGGGCUGGAUCCUCCUCUAUAGGCUGACGUCGUCGGGGGCGGGUCCUCUUAUGACGUCACCGUCGCCAUCUUGUUAGCGAAGUCCUGGAGCUGUCAUCUACGAUAUUCUAUUAUGCAAUUCUUAGGAGGUUUAUCAGUUAUUAAACAGGCAACUGUAUCAUUGCAGCACCAAUGAGUGAGAGGUAGAGGCGGUGUGUUUAGUAUGCAACUCCACUGGUCCUUCUCCCUCUACUCAUAUAUACAAAACAAUAUUAGCUUUAUGCUAUCUGAGGCUAAAAACAACAUCCUGUAAUACUACCGGAAAUGGACAAAUAUGAUCCGUCCAGAAACAGUGAAUUAUCUUUUAAAGUUCCGCUCUAAUAUAUUGAUUAUUUCUAACACUUGACAACGUGGUUUCUGCCCAAUGUGACUUUAACGUAGCAUUACCAAAAUGUUAGCAAGUUAGCUUGACAACGUGGUUUCUGCCCAAUGUGACUUUAACGUAGCAUUACCAAAAUGUUAGCAAGUUAGCUUGACAACGUGGUUUCUGCCCAAUGUGACUUUAACGUAGCAUUACCAAAAUGUUAGCAAGUUAGCUUGACAACGUGGUUUCUGCCCAAUGUGACUUUAACGUAGCAUUACCAAAAUGUUAGCAAGUUAGCUUGACAACGUGGUUUCUGCCCAAUGUGACUUUAACGUAGCAUUACCAAAAUGUUAGCAAGUUAGCUUGACAACGUGGUUUCUGCCCAAUGUGACUUUAACGUAGCAUUACCAAAAUGUUAGCAAGUUAGCUUGACAACGUGGUUUCUGCCCAAUGUGACUUUAACGUAGCAUUACCAAAAUGUUAGCAAGUUAGCUUGACAACCUGGUUUCUGCCCAAGGUGCCAUCAUUUGCAAGAUGUUAUGUUCUCGUGCUUAAUUUGUGCCUGUCUGAAACCAGAAAUAGUCUUGAGUUAUUUCAACAAUUGCUGAAUUGCAAAGAAAGUCAUUAGGAAGACUGAAGGUCAGCUAACAAGUUUAUUUGCACCCCCUAAAUUAGCCUAUUGGUACCAUAACUCCGUGAGUGUUUAUUAGACAAUUACGUUUUCUAAUAACUUUGCUCUGAUUCUUCAGAGAAUAUUUUGAUGGAUAUUAACAGUUAUUCAACCUUCCUUAAAUUUUACAGAAAAUGCUGCUGCGUGUUUCGUUUGGUGGAGAGCAGAAGUACAUAAAGCUGCCUGAAGUAACAUUUGGUGAUUUCUUGAGAGAAGUGAGUAUUAAAUUUAACAUCGAUGAAGAUAGACGGUUGGACAUCAAGAUCCAUGACCAGUCCAACACAGAGGUCGACGCUGAGGUUUUUGAGGAGGUCGUUAAAGAGUCUCAAGGACCUUUCCUUGUUUCAUUGGCCAAUGAAGCACCUGGUAACCCUCAGUCCACGUCAUCUCCACGCUCUACUGCAUCUGAAGACACAGUGAUCCUCAACUUCUCUUUGUGUGACCCAGCUGAGGAACCAGUUGCAGCCGGAGGAAGUCAACCUAAAAGGCCUUGCCGCAUCAACUAUGAAGCAAAAGCUCUAAUUGAAAAAAUCUUGACGACAAAGCCUGGAGGUGACCGUAUCAUGGAGGAGUAUGCAAAAACAAAAUCCAUUACAGAUUCAACCAGAAGACAGCUAAUCAACAUACUUACCGCAGAGAUGACAGAAAAACAUGGGACAUCUCCGCCCCGGAGUGUGAGAGUGAUGUAUGCACAGGGGAUUGUCGCUCUGUUUCCAUAUCUUGAAGACCCAUCUUCACAGAAUGGCUAUGAUCAUUACUACGAUCCUGAAAGGGGUUCAGGAUACCUUGCAUGGCGGUUGAAGACUAUUCAAAGAAAAGCUGCAGAGGAAAGAGGUCCAGCAGUUAGUAGAUCUCCUAAAGUUGGUGGUCCAGGCCAUGGGCGUACUAGACCCUUUACUGCCGACCAA